RNAcentral lists this long non-coding RNA (557 nucleotides) under Fragaria vesca (wild strawberry). RNAcentral's name for it is "long non-coding RNA (FVES_LNC003219)". Lineage: Eukaryota; Viridiplantae; Streptophyta; Magnoliopsida; Rosales; Rosaceae. The record is from RNAcentral.
CGCUACUUACCUUAGUUUCAAUCUCAAUGUUUGUAUGGCACGCUCACAUAUUUUUGGGGCCAAAAGAAAACACGAGGAACUUGGAAAGCAUAUAUACACAUCAACAAUUUUGAUCGAAGUCUCCAUAUACGUAUAGCUUUACAGCUUUUUCAGCCUCGUAUAAUGAGUUGUGUUCUUUGUAUUUCUUUACUGGUUGUGUGUGCUAUCACUUUUAAUUAGGACUAUAUUUUCGUACCCGUUCCCAAUCAAAUUAAUAAGCAAAUAUGUAAUUACUGAUAAAGUAGUCUGAGAUUCAUAUUUAAAACCAAUUAACUGUGUAAGACGUGCUCCAAACCAUUAUAAAUUCACAUGCAAGGUUUUAUAUUAGGGAAAAUGCCCAAAUGCACAAAAAUAGGGAUUUUAAUACCCACUUCAAUGUAAAUCUUUUCUUUUAGCCCAUUUCAAUGAUUUUUAAUAAAAUUACGAGUAUACCCUGUAUUGAUAAUUAAACUCUUCUCUCUCUAAUCAAAUCUCAUAUCUCUCAUUCUCUCUCUCUCUCUCUCUCUCUCUCUCUCUCU